CCUCCCGAUCCUACGGGAGGCAGCAGUGGGGAAUAUUGCACAAUGGGCGCAAGCCUGAUGCAGCCAUGCCGCGUGUAUGAAGAAGGCCUUCGGGUUGUAAAGUACUUUCAGCAGUGAGGAAGGUGGAUAUGUUAAUAGCAUAUUCAUUUGACGUUAGCUGCAGAAGAAGCACCGGCUAACUCCGUGCCAGCAGCCGCGGUAAUACGGAGGGUGCGAGCGUUAAUCGGAAUUACUGGGCGUAAAGCGCAUGCAGGUGGUUUGUUAAGUCAGAUGUGAAAGCCCGGGGCUCAACCUCGGAAUUGCAUUUGAAACUGGCAAACUAGAGUACUGUAGAGGGGGUAGAAUUUCAGGUGUAGCGGUGAAAUGCGUAGAGAUCUGAAGGAAUACCGGUGGCGAAGGCGGCCCCCUGGACAGAUACUGACACUCAGAUGCGAAAGCGUGGGGAGCAAACAGGAUUAGAUACCCUGGUAG
This 471-nucleotide ribosomal RNA is filed under the name uncultured bacterium. Its description in RNAcentral is "bacterial SSU rRNA". It matches the Rfam family "Bacterial small subunit ribosomal RNA", at positions 329 to 793 of the family's 1533-position model. The record is from RNAcentral.